Molecule: ribosomal RNA, 231 nt
Filed under: uncultured bacterium
Lineage: Bacteria
Description: partial 16S ribosomal RNA
Rfam family: Bacterial small subunit ribosomal RNA
Source: RNAcentral
GAUCCUGGCUCAGGAUGAACGCUAGCGACAGGCUUAACACAUGCGAGUCGAGGGGCAGCAUGAUUUGUAGCAAUACAGAUUGAUGGCGACCGGCGCACGGGUGAGUAACGCGUAUGCAACUUACCUAUCAGAGGGGGAUAGCCCGGCGAAAGUCGGAUUAAUACCCCAUAAAACAGGGGUCCCGCAUGGGAAUAUUUGUUAAAGAUUCAUCGCUGAUAGAUACGGCAUGCG